This 341-nucleotide ribosomal RNA is filed under the name uncultured bacterium. RNAcentral's name for it is "bacterial SSU rRNA". It matches the Rfam family "Bacterial small subunit ribosomal RNA", at positions 767 to 1106 of the family's 1533-position model. The record is from RNAcentral.
AGCUAAUAGAUACCCGGGUAGUCCACGCCCUAAACGAUGUCGACUGGUUGUUGGUGGGGUUAAACCCAUUAGUAAACGAAAGCUAAACGCGUGAAAGUCGACCGCCUGGGGAGUACGGCCGCAAGGUUAAAACUCAAAGGAAUUGACGGGGACCCGCACAAGCGGUGGAUGAUGUGGAUUAAUUCGAUGCAACGCGAAGAACCUUACCUACCCUUGACAUGCCAGGAACCCUGCUGAGAGGUGGGGGUGCCCGAAAGGGAACCUGGACACAGGUGCUGCAUGGCUGUCGUCAGCUCGUGUCGUGAGAUGUUGGGUUAAGUCCCGCAACGAGCGCAACCCUU